This 261-nucleotide ribosomal RNA is filed under the name uncultured bacterium. RNAcentral's name for it is "partial 16S ribosomal RNA". It matches the Rfam family "Bacterial small subunit ribosomal RNA", at positions 92 to 354 of the family's 1533-position model. The record is from RNAcentral.
CGACCGGCGCACGGGUGCGUAACGCGUAUGCAACCUACCAUCAACAGGGGGAUAACACUGAGAAAUUGGUACUAAUACCCCAUAAUAUCUCAUGCGGCAUCGCAUGGGGUUGAAAACUCCGGUGGUUGAUGAUGGGCAUGCGUUGUAUUAGCUGGUUGGUGAGGUAACGGCUCACCAAGGCGACGAUACAUAGGGGGACUGGGAGGUUAACCCCCCACAUUGGUACUGAGACACGGACCAAACUCCUACGGAAGGCAGCAG